UACGUAGGGGGCAAGCGUUGUCCGGAUUUAUUGGGCGUAAAGGGCGUGUAGGCGGCCAUACAGGUCCGUUGUGAAAACUGGAGGCUUAACCUCCAGACGUCGAUGGAAACCGUAUGGCUAGAGUCCGGAAGAGGAGAGUGGAAUUCCUGGUGUAGCGGUGAAAUGCGCAGAUAUCAGGAAGAACACCCGUGGCGAAGGCGGCUCUCUGGGACGGUACUGACGCUGAGACGCUAAAGCGUGGGGAGCGAACAGG
Molecule: ribosomal RNA, 253 nt
Filed under: uncultured bacterium
Lineage: Bacteria
Description: partial 16S ribosomal RNA
Rfam family: Bacterial small subunit ribosomal RNA
Source: RNAcentral